AAUCCAAGAAGGAAAAGCACCAGCAGUUCAGUUAUUGACAAGGCAGAGGCAGAACACUACUGGAAGGACCCAGAAGGAUCAGCCAGCCAUGCCUCCAGCGCAGGGUCAAUGUGAGAUGACAACAUCCCAACAGAAGAUGUGAAAGCAGCCGCAAGAAGGCUUCCUGACCCAACAGCAGACUGUUUAGCAUUAGGAGAGCCCGGGACAUGACCGAAGCAUCAGAUCUCGCCUAAGGAGCAGUGGACAAAGUGUGAGGAGUUAGAGCAGGACAAAGUGAAUCCUCUCAGAGAAGUUAUGGGGAGAAGAGAAGGAUGGGCGAAGAAGAGGUCUUGUGCUGAGGUCUCUGCAUGUGCCUGGUCCAGCAUAUUUUUAGGAAGUUGGUUCAACCUCAAUCACAAUUUAAGAAUUUUUUUUCUCUGCAAGUAAUUUUAAAUAAAUGCCCAUUGUAAUCAUA
Long non-coding RNA from Mesocricetus auratus (golden hamster), 454 nucleotides. RefSeq lists it as uncharacterized. Lineage: Eukaryota; Metazoa; Chordata; Mammalia; Rodentia; Cricetidae. The record is from RefSeq and is a predicted model, not a curated record. The transcript has 3 exons.